RNAcentral lists this ribosomal RNA (253 nucleotides) under uncultured bacterium. RNAcentral describes it as "partial 16S ribosomal RNA". It matches the Rfam family "Bacterial small subunit ribosomal RNA", at positions 524 to 776 of the family's 1533-position model. The record is from RNAcentral.
UACGUAGGUGGCAAGCGUUGUCCGGAUUCACUGGGCGUAAAGCGCGCGCAGGCGGUCUUCUACGUCUGGGGUGAAAACCCGGGGCUCAACCCCGGGACUGCCUUGGAUACGGGAGGACUUGAGGAUCGGAGAGGCAAGGGGAAUUCCACGUGUAGCGGUGAAAUGCGUAGAGAUGUGGAGGAACACCUGUGGCGAAGGCGCCUUGCUGGCCGAUUUCUGACGCUGAGGCGCGAAAGCGUGGGGAGCAAACAGG